GGCUGGAUGGCCGAGCGGUCUAAGGCGCUGUGUUCAGGUCGCAGUCUUCGGGCGUGGGUUCGAAUCCCACUCCAGUCA
This 78-nucleotide transfer RNA is filed under the name Trichosporon asahii var. asahii CBS 8904. RNAcentral's name for it is "tRNA-Leu (CAG) (tRNA-Leu-CAG-1-1)". It matches the Rfam family "tRNA". From Rfam's summary of the family: Transfer RNA (tRNA) molecules are approximately 80 nucleotides in length. Their secondary structure includes four short double-helical elements and three loops (D, anti-codon, and T loops). Further hydrogen bonds mediate the characteristic L-shaped molecular structure. tRNAs have two regions of fundamental functional importance: the anti-codon, which is responsible for specific mRNA codon recognition, and the 3' end, to which the tRNAs corresponding amino acid is attached (by aminoacyl-tRNA synthetases). tRNAs cope with the degeneracy of the genetic code in two manners: having more than one tRNA (with a specific anti-codon) for a particular amino acid; and 'wobble' base-pairing, i.e. permitting non-standard base-pairing at the 3rd anti-codon position. Lineage: Eukaryota; Fungi; Basidiomycota; Tremellomycetes; Trichosporonales; Trichosporonaceae. The record is from RNAcentral.